This 533-nucleotide ribosomal RNA is filed under the name Bifidobacterium dentium. Its description in RNAcentral is "bacterial SSU rRNA". It matches the Rfam family "Bacterial small subunit ribosomal RNA", at positions 157 to 700 of the family's 1533-position model. Lineage: Bacteria; Bacillati; Actinomycetota; Actinomycetes; Bifidobacteriales; Bifidobacteriaceae. The record is from RNAcentral.
CGGGUGGUAAUGCCGGAUGCUCCGGUUGGAUGCAUGUCCUUCCGGGAAAGGUUCCAUCGGUAUGGGAUGGGGUCGCGUCCUAUCAGCUUGAUGGCGGGGUAACGGCCCACCAUGGCUUCGACGGGUAGCCGGCCUGAGAGGGCGACCGGCCACAUUGGGACUGAGAUACGGCCCAGACUCCUACGGGAGGCAGCAGUGGGGAAUAUUGCACAAUGGGCGCAAGCCUGAUGCAGCGACGCCGCGUGCGGGAUGGAGGCCUUCGGGUUGUAAACCGCUUUUGAUCGGGAGCAAGCCCUUCGGGGUGAGUGUACCUUUCGAAUAAGCACCGGCUAACUACGUGCCAGCAGCCGCGGUAAUACGUAGGGUGCAAGCGUUAUCCGGAAUUAUUGGGCGUAAAGGGCUCGUAGGCGGUUCGUCGCGUCCGGUGUGAAAGCCCAUCGCUUAACGGUGGGUCUGCGCCGGGUACGGGCGGGCUGGAGUGCGGUAGGGGAGACUGGAAUUCCCGGUGUAACGGUGGAAUGUGUAGAUAUCGG